This 301-nucleotide ribosomal RNA is filed under the name uncultured bacterium. RNAcentral's name for it is "partial 16S ribosomal RNA". It matches the Rfam family "Bacterial small subunit ribosomal RNA", at positions 509 to 808 of the family's 1533-position model. The record is from RNAcentral.
CAGUCGCCGCGGGAAUACGUAGGUCCCGAGCGUUGUCCGGAUUUAUUGGGCGUAAAGCGAGCGCAGGCGGUUAGAUAAGUCUGAAGUUAAAGGCUGUGGCUUAACCAUAGUACGCUUUGGAAACUGUUUAACUUGAGUGCAAGAGGGGAGAGUGGAAUUCCAUGUGUAGCGGUGAAAUGCGUAGAUAUAUGGAGGAACACCGGUGGCGAAAGCGGCUCUCUGGCUUGUAACUGACGCUGAGGCUCGAAAGCGUGGGGAGCAAACAGGAUUAGAUACCCCUGUAGUCCCUGUCUCUUAUACC